AGGACGAACGCUGGCGGCGUGCUUAACACAUGCAAGUCGAGCGAGGCCCUUCCUUCGGGAAGGAGCCCUAGCGGCGAACGGGUGAGUAACACGUGGGCAACCUGCCCCUAGCACUGGGAUAACUCCGGGAAACCGGGGCUAAUACCGGAUAUGACCUUGGAGGGCAUCCUCCUUGGUGUAAAGGAUUCUGGCUAGGGAUGGGCCCGCGGCCUAUCAGCUUGUUGGUGGGGUAAUGGCCUACCAAGGCGACGACGGGUAGCCGGCCUGAGAGGGCGACCGGCCACACUGGGACUGAGACACGGCCCAGACUCCUACGGGAGGCAGCAGUGGGGAAUAUUGCACAAUGGGCGAAAGCCUGAUGCAGCGACGCGCGUGAGGGAUGACUGCCUUCGGGUUGUAAACCUCUUUCAGCAGGGACGAAGCGAAAGUGACGGUACCUGCAGAAGAAGCACCGGCCAACUACGUGCCAGCAGCCGCGGUAA
This 482-nucleotide ribosomal RNA is filed under the name uncultured bacterium. RNAcentral's name for it is "SSU rRNA". It matches the Rfam family "Bacterial small subunit ribosomal RNA", at positions 26 to 523 of the family's 1533-position model. The record is from RNAcentral.